Molecule: RNA transcript, 1785 nt
Organism: Marmota monax (woodchuck)
Lineage: Eukaryota; Metazoa; Chordata; Mammalia; Rodentia; Sciuridae
Gene: Pcmt1
Gene name: protein-L-isoaspartate (D-aspartate) O-methyltransferase
Exons: 9
Source: RefSeq, a predicted model, not a curated record
UGCGUGCCGCGGGGGAUGCCGGGAGCGCGCAGUGGCGGCAGCGACGCCGACGGCAGUAAUAUCGGCGGCAAUACCGGGGACGGGAGCGGGGCGGUGACCGUGUGGGAGGUGGUCUCACUCUUGGGAAAGCUGCUGGGCACCGUCGCCGCGCUGAAGGUGGUUCUGUACCUGCUCCGGGUGUGCUUAGCGAUGGCCUGGAAAUCCGGCGGCGCCAGCCACUCGGAGCUUAUCCACAAUCUCCGCAAAAAUGGAAUCAUCAAGACAGAUAAAGUAUUUGAAGUAAUGCUGGCUACAGACCGCUCGCACUAUGCAAAAUGUAACCCAUAUAUGGAUUCUCCACAAUCAAUAGGUUUCCAAGCAACAAUCAGUGCUCCACACAUGCAUGCAUAUGCACUAGAACUUCUAUUUGAUCAAUUACAUGAAGGAGCUAAAGCUCUUGAUGUAGGAUCUGGAAGUGGAAUCCUUACUGCAUGUUUUGCACGUAUGGUUGGAUGUAAUGGAAAAGUCAUAGGAAUUGAUCACAUUAAAGAGCUAGUAGAUGAAUCAAUAAAUAAUGUCAGAAAAGAUGAUCCAACACUUUUGACUUCAGGGAGAGUACAACUGGUUGUGGGAGAUGGAAGAAUGGGAUAUGCUGCAGAAGCCCCUUACGAUGCAAUUCAUGUUGGAGCUGCAGCCCCAGUUGUGCCACAGGCACUAAUAGACCAGUUAAAGCCUGGUGGAAGAUUGAUAUUGCCAGUUGGUCCUGCAGGUGGAAAUCAAAUGUUGGAGCAGUACGACAAGCUACAAGAUGGCAGUGUCAAAAUGAAACCUCUUAUGGGAGUGAUAUAUGUGCCUUUAACAGAUAAAGAGAAGCAGUGGUCCAGUUGCUGGCACAGUGCUCCACCUGGCUGAGUGAAUGGCUUCUUUUGGAGCUGAUAAAGCUGCCUUAUGAAGUCAGCUGACAGGGAUGAGCUGUAAAGCAACAUCAGCUUGACCAGUCUAUAAUAUUGCAGUGGAUCGCUCAUCUCAGUCCUUAAAGCUUUUUGAAAACCAAUAGCAUCACAGCUUGUUUUGGACUUUGUUACACUGUUAUUUUCAGCAUGAAAUUUGUGGUUUUGUAGGGUCUUCUAAUUCUUCGAAGAGGCACAGAGCCAAAUGGUAGAGGAAGGAUACAAAGUAUAAAUCUGUGUGUUAUUACUUUAACAUGCCCACGUUUUACUUUAAAAUAUUAAAAGAAGGGUUUCUGCAAAAUGAAACAGUUAGUUUGUGAAUUGAUUUUGAGGAGUGAAUUUUCUUUUCUUGGACACUUAAUUCUAUUCUGAUAUUAAUUUAUGAGAUUUCUUUUGUGCAUCAGAUAACACCACCAUUCACAAGUUAAGAUUCUUGGUAUUUGGAUGUCUAUUAGAGACUACUAAGAAAAUAGAGAUGAGCUUUCUUUUUAAAGCUUUUGAUGUGGUAUCAUAGAAUAGCAUGUUGUAGAUACAAUCAGCUGCUUUGUUACCUUAAAACUAGGCAUUGUAAAUACUGAAACUUAAGAAGAUGGCAGGUAAUGUCCUAUCAACACUCAGUUGUUCAGAUUGGACAUAACUGACAUAGUUCCCCCCACCCUUUCUCUCCCUCUCCCCAUCUCCCUCUCUCUCUCUCUCUAAAACCAAUAGGAGACUUGUAGUUCAGUAUUGUUUUUUCUGUUUCUAGUUUGCUGCUGAUAAUGUAUAUGAAUCUAACAUGCUGUGUAAGCUGUGUGCUGGAUUCUGCACAGCUUAUGCAGUGCUGCUUUGCCAAAUAAAGUUAAAAGCAAAAGAGGCA